UACGGAGGGUGCAAGCGUUGUCCGGAAUUAUUGGGCGUAAAGAGCUCGUAGGCGGUCUGUCGCGUCGGCUGUGAAAACCCGGAGCUCAACUCCGGGCCUGCAGUCGAUACGGGCAAACUGGAGUGUUGCAGGGGAGACUGGAAUUCCUGGUGUAGCGGUGAAAUGCGCAGAUAUCAGGAGGAACACCGGUGGCGAAGGCGGGUCUCUGGGCAACAACUGACGCUGAGGAGCGAAAGCGUGGGGAGCGAACAGG
This 253-nucleotide ribosomal RNA is filed under the name uncultured bacterium. Its description in RNAcentral is "partial 16S ribosomal RNA". It matches the Rfam family "Bacterial small subunit ribosomal RNA", at positions 524 to 776 of the family's 1533-position model. The record is from RNAcentral.